Molecule: ribosomal RNA, 440 nt
Filed under: uncultured bacterium
Lineage: Bacteria
Description: partial 16S ribosomal RNA
Rfam family: Bacterial small subunit ribosomal RNA
Source: RNAcentral
CCUACGGGUGGCAGCAGUGGGGAAUAUUGCACAAUGGGGGAAACCCUGAUGCAGCGACGCCGCGUGAGUGAAGAAGUAUUUCGGUAUGUAAAGCUCUAUCAGCCGGGAAGAAAAUGACGGUACCUGAUUAAGAAGCACCGGCCAACUACGUGCCAGCAGCCGCGGUAAAACGUAGGGGGCAAGCGUUAUCCGGAUUUACUGGGUGUAAAGGGAGGGGAGACGGCAGAGCAAGUCUGGAGUGAAAUGCCGGGGCUUAACCCCGGAACUGCUUUGGAAACUGUGCUGCUAGAGUGCAGGAGAGGUAAGUGGAAUGCGUGGUGUAGCGGUGAAAUGCGUAGAUAUUAGGAGGAACACCAGUGGCGAAGGCGGCUUACUGGACUUUAACUGACGUUGAGGCUCGAAAGCGUGGGGAGCAAACAGGAUUAGAUACCCGUGUAGUC